AAAAGAAACCAACAGGGAUUGCCCUAGUAACGGCGAGUGAAGCGGCAACAGCUCAAAUUUGAAAUCUGGCCCCUUUGGGGUCCGAGUUGUAAUUUGCAGAGGGUGCUUUGGCGUUGGCUGUGGUCUAAGUUCCUUGGAACAGGACGUCACAGAGGGUGAGAAUCCCGUACGUGGCCGCCAGCCUCCGCCGUGUAAAGCCCCUUCGACGAGUCGAGUUGUUUGGGAAUGCAGCUCUAAAUGGGAGGUAAAUUUCUUCUAAAGCUAAAUAUUUGCCAGAGACCGAUAGCGCACAAGUAGAGUGAUCGAAAGAUGAAAAGCACUUUGGAAAGAGAGUCAAAAAGCACGUGAAAUUGUUGAAAGGGAAGCGCUUGCAGCUAGACGUGCCUUGGGUUGAUCAGCCGGGCUUCUGCCCGGUGCACUCUUCCUCUGGCAGGCCAGCAUCAGUUUGGGCGGCUGGAUAAAGGUCUGUUAAACGUGACUCCCCUCGGGGAGAGCUUAUAGGGCAGACGACAUGCAGCCAGCCUGGACUGAGGUCCGCGCAUCUGCUAGGAUGCUGGCGUAAUAGCUGUAAGCGGCC
This 577-nucleotide ribosomal RNA is filed under the name Alpestrisphaeria sp. RNAcentral describes it as "partial large subunit ribosomal RNA". It matches the Rfam family "Eukaryotic large subunit ribosomal RNA", at positions 57 to 649 of the family's 3401-position model. Lineage: Eukaryota; Fungi; Ascomycota; Dothideomycetes; Pleosporales; Lophiostomataceae. The record is from RNAcentral.